Molecule: ribosomal RNA, 331 nt
Filed under: uncultured Moraxella sp.
Lineage: Bacteria; Pseudomonadati; Pseudomonadota; Gammaproteobacteria; Moraxellales; Moraxellaceae
Description: bacterial SSU rRNA
Rfam family: Bacterial small subunit ribosomal RNA
Source: RNAcentral
CGCGUAGGUGGUUAUUUAAGUCAGAUGUGAAAGCCCCGGGCUUAACCUGGGAACUGCAUCUGAUACUGGAUAACUAGAGUAGGUGAGAGGGGAGUAGAAUUCCAGGUGUAGCGGUGAAAUGCGUAGAGAUCUGGAGGAAUACCGAUGGCGAAGGCAGCUCCCUGGCAUCAUACUGACACUGAGGUGCGAAAGCGUGGGUAGCAAACAGGAUUAGAUACCCUGGUAGUCCACGCCGUAAACGAUGUCUACCAGUCGUUGGGUCUUUUAAAGACUUAGUGACGCAGUUAACGCAAUAAGUAGACCGCCUGGGGAGUACGGCCGCAAGGUUAAA